RNAcentral lists this ribosomal RNA (514 nucleotides) under uncultured bacterium. RNAcentral describes it as "partial 16S ribosomal RNA". It matches the Rfam family "Bacterial small subunit ribosomal RNA", at positions 28 to 523 of the family's 1533-position model. The record is from RNAcentral.
GAUGAACGCUGGCGGCGUGCCUAAUACAUGCAAGUCGAGCGAACAGAUGAGAAGCUUGCUUCUCUGAUGUUAGCGGCGGACGGGUGAGUAACACGUGGGUAACCUACCUAUAAAACUGGGAUAACUCCGGGAAACCGGGGCUAAUACCGGAUAAUAUUUUGAACCGCAUGGUUCAAUAGUGAAAGACGGUUUAGGCUGUCACUUAUAGAUGGACCCGCGCCGUAUUAGCUAGUUGGUAAGGUAACGGCUUACCAAGGCGACGAUACGUAGCCGACCUGAGAGGGUGAUCGGCCACACUGGAACUGAGACACGGUCCAGACUCCUACGGGAGGCAGCAGUAGGGAAUCUUCCGCAAUGGGCGAAAGCCUGACGGAGCAACGCCGCGUGAGUGAUGAAGGUCUUCGGAUCGUAAAACUCUGUUGUUAGGGAAGAACAAAUUUGUUAGUAACUGAACAAGUCUUGACGGUACCUAACCAGAAAGCCACGGCUAACUACGUGCCAGCCGCCGCUGUAA